Molecule: long non-coding RNA, 14817 nt
Organism: Falco peregrinus (peregrine falcon)
Lineage: Eukaryota; Metazoa; Chordata; Aves; Falconiformes; Falconidae
Exons: 3
Source: RefSeq, a predicted model, not a curated record
UUCGCCCCCCCCCUCCCCCCGCCAUUAGCUCGUCUGCAGAAAUCCCUGAGGAUUAACAAAAGACAGUGAGUGAAUGCACCAGGAGGUGUUUUUAAGUGUAGAAGAAGCUCAAGUUCUAAAAGACAGAGCUGUAGCCAGCUGUGGUUUCCUGGGUAAAUUCAGAGUGACAAAACCCGGUGCUUUGGUGUAGGUGAAAAGGCUUGGAAUAAAGUAGGGUAUGAAAAGUAUGUGUAGCAUCCCCUUCACAUCUCCUGCCCAGUGUACUUUCUUGAGUUUUGAGUUCUAUGUCACUUUUUCUGCUCUGCUUGAGCUCGAGUCUGACCUGAUUCCAUAACCCCUCUCCCUUCUCAGGAGGGCGCUGACCUAAGGGGAUAGAUGUGAGUAUCAAGGAGCAAGUACAUGGAGUCAGUUGAAGUGUAGACUGCUCAGGAUGGUUUUCUCCUGUUUUCUGGUAUUGCAGUUAUGUCACUUCAUUCACAUACGAGGAGGUAUCAGCCCUGUUUACUUGCCCGUGGACUACACUCUGCUUUUGACUUCUCAUGAGUUUUUCUUUGGAAAAAAGUUUAAGCAAUCCUUCAGAAGUGUUCUGACAAGAUUCAAGAGUGAGGGUGUUUUCCACCCUCUCAAGAUUGACUUUAGUAACCGUUUAAUGUCACUACUGGACUAUUUGGGCAAGGGACAGUGAUUGAUAUCAACAGAGCUCCACACAAAGGCCAAGUGCCGGUGCUUGCUUUUUCCCCUAAUGUGUGCCAGGCUGGAUGUGACGGCUGGCUCGGACCUUGAAUUUGGUCAAGGAUUUUGCCUCACUAAUAGCUACAUGAUCUAGUUCUUAGAUGUGUCUUACACCGUCACUCUUUUUUUCUUUUAUUGUCUUCUUUUCCCUUCUCUGCCAAAUGCUGUCUGAAAACAUCCCCCCGUGCACAUUUGAAUUUGCUGCUGUGUGCAGGUCAGAGAAUGCCACAGCGCUCUUCUUUUUGGGGGGAACAGUACCUGAUGAAAUGCAAGCAAAUUUAUGACUAACUGUUUCUAGGGUCUGGCACUUACAGACUGGUCUCACAGGUCUUGAAAAAACUGCACUAUAAAGCUCCCGUCCUGCAAAACCAUAUCCACAAGAUCAACUUCCCUUCUAAGCAAGUAGUUCUUCCGGUUUCUUAUGAUAGUACAUGCGUACUCACAAAAUGAGAUAUUCUAUGUAGAUGCUAGUAAAUUGUCAAGGUGUAAAAUAUAUAUAAAAAAAUCUUUAGCUCCUUUGGUUAUGCUAGUUUUUUGGCUGAAACAUCAGAAAGACUGAUAAUUGCCUCAAUUUAGAUUUUAUAAAAAUAGUGUGAUUGAUGGGAAGUCGGUGUAGUAGCUUUACGCGUUAAUGGAAACAUGACUCUGAAAGGUUAUGCUAGAGUGUUAACAGCAGUUAAUAGGAAAAGUACUCUUUUCUUGGGAAGCGGCAGGGUCUUGUCUGCUGGUUUUUAAGAAGAUGAGCUGUCUGUCCAUUGAAUGUAUAUGGAAUUUUUUCUUUAGUCAAAGUGACAAAUAGAUGGUGUGACCUGAUCCUGUAUUUAGAUCCCAAUUGAUCCCUGUUAUGUGACCUAGCCCUGGACUGUGACACUUACAGUUCAGAUAUUAUUUGACAUAUUUGUAUUAAGCUUUGACUGUAACAUGUAUGUGCUUUAUAAAAUAACUUGAACUUUACAUGCAUUUUGUUGUCAAAGCACUCCUUUUAGUGAUUUAGCAAUGAUUCUUUUCUGAAAAGAUUACUUGCAGAAAGGUCAAACACAAGUCUUCAGAAGACUAUGUUCAGCAGAUGGAAUUGUCUAUUCUUUAAAGAAAGAACAGACACUGACCAGUUGAAAUACUAAAAGAAAAAACUUGGGACUGUUUAUAUGAGUAUUAUCUUAACAGCCCAUUUUAAUCAAGAACUUGUGAAAGGAGUCUUGACGGUGUAAAAGUUUAUCCCAUCUGAGACUUACCUAGUCUAAAUGAUUGAUACCAGUUUGCCCGUUUUGUGAAAUGCCGUUGGUGCCGUAGAGAGCUCUCCCUUGGGAGCUGAAUUAAGCUGCAGCUUAAAACCUUUGGGGGAGAAAAUAAAACUGAAAUAUUUCUGUAGGAACUUCCCAGGCAUUAGGUGUCCUGCAACUCUUUAGUAACUCAACAAUUUAUAGGGGUGUUUUAAUAAGAGAUAUAUUAACUUUGCUAUGUAAAUAGUUUUACUUAGUAAAACUACAAAUAAGCAGCUUCUGAAAAGGAUGCAGUCUAAUGCAGGGCAUUAGUGAAAAUAUGUGCAGUUCUGUCUUUCACACUGCUUUCAGAAAUGACUCUUAAAACCAGAAAUGAAUGUACAGCAAAUUGCAUAGAUAACAACUGAAAGGCACUAGUAAUUUUAUCGGUUCAUAGCUGAACAUAUUCCUUGAUUCUGUUCAGUAUAGUUUCUCUAAUAAAGAUUCAGUUGUCUCCUGACCUGGUCAAAUUUACGCUUAGAAAAGCAGCUAUUACGGCAUUACAUAUUAACCACCACUGCAAUACCAAUAUUCCUGGGUAGCUACAUAAUUGGAAAGCACAUGAUUUCUUGUUAAGAAUCAGUUCUCGAAGCACUAAGUACUUCUGGGAAAGUUGUCUUUCUGCAGCUGUUGCUUGUCAGCUUGAAAAGAUCUUUUGCUCAUUACUUUAGAUUUGACUUUAGGCUGCUUGCAGACUUACAGUAUAGUUAGUGAAUGAUUGUAUUACUGGAUACAAUUAGUUGCAAAGUUAUACAUUUUAAUUUUUAUUUUGGAGUAAAACAUAUGUGCUGCAGUCGUCACAAACAGGUGGAACUCUGGAAAGCGUGGCCGCUGUUACUGAUGUGCUUAUUUUUAAGAAGAAAUGUGCUUGGUACUUAAAUUAUUUGCAUUUAACUAUGGGAGAUGGGGAGAAGAAGAGACAGAUUCCCUCCUAUCCCAUCCUCCCUCCAAAAAAAAUCCAAACCACAAGAGGAUCCCUACUUAACUGGGAUUCAGAGUUUACUGUGCACCCAAAACUCCCAUAGAUACUCCGGUCUGGGAAGUUCUAAUCUUCUGUCAUAUUUAAGCAAGACCGCGGGACCUAAUUUUGUCAUUGCACCAGGACACCUAUUGUGCUGAAUUACCGUUGCUGCUUUUUCUGCACAAAUGGUUUGUCCUGUCAUUGGGGUAUGUGCUGAAAUGUCAGUAUGAACUGACACAUGGUUUUUAACACAGAAUUGUAUCUCAGUUCACUCAGAUGUAAUGUACAUAUCUUUUUUUUGUUUGGGGUUUUUUUGGGGUUUUUUUUGGUGAGAAUUCAAGGUAAUUUUGCCAGUAGAGGUUAGGAAAGAAAAAAAAAAAAAAAAGUAUUUCUGGAAAACUAUUAAGAAUUGUGGCAGUGUGUGAAGCUCACAGGAAAAUUUUGUUAUCAAGCUGUGGAAAAGCUUAUUCCUUCAAUAGAAAGUGGUAAUUAUUCUAUCUUCCUGUCCUGCAGUACAGGAAGAUGCCAAUAAAGAUUUUAUCAAGAGCAACAUGCCAAAUAAAGAGAUUUUGAUAAAUCACCGCUGGGAAGGGGGAGUUUCCUAAGAGCAGCACUACCAGUGUUGAGGAGGUGGUGUGGUGUAAAGCAGUAGCGGUGGGAACCUGCCUCCUCGCUCCUGGCUGCCAGGGGCACUGCCCAUGUCCCCAGACACGGGUCCCCCCCAGAGCCCGGUGCCUAGGUUGGUCUUUGCCUGUGCGGGUCAGGCAGCAUGGGGAGGCUUCUGCCCUGCUGGGCUUCCAGCCUGCGAGCCAGCACACUCAGCCUGAGGAGCAAUAAACAGCCCUUGCCACCACCAUCGGGGUUCCCACUGCCCCUCCUGUUAAAGGUCUCUUGUAUUGUAGUUGAAGUUUGAUUUCAGGUGGGAAGGGGGCUGCUAGCUGAGUUCACUGAGGAGCAGGCUUGCUUUCAGAAGCAUGCUCUCAAACAUCUCUCUUUAAAUGAAGCAGAGCAGCCUUUCUCCCGCAGCCCCACUCCCCACUCCCCAGGUGGUGGGACGGCUGCAGGUGGGCACUGGGCACGGAGUGCGGGACGCAGCCCCCUGCUCCCGGCGGUGCUGCGGGUGAGGUGUGGGGUUUCCGGUGGGCACAAGGACCGGGUCUGGUCUCCAUUUGUUGGCACCCAGGCUGUGCCCACCAGCCAGCCUUUACCGUGCCCGUGGGUCACAUCGGCUGCCGUACAUCAGCUCCGUGGCAAUGAGGCGCUGGCGUGGGGCUGUCCUCUUCACUGAGUGGAGGGUUUGAGCCCAUUGUCGUCUGCUUUGGUGCCUUGGGUGAAGCUCUUGAACGUUUCAGCCAGGACAAAUACUGAAAAUCCUGCUUCUGCUUUAGUGAGCCACAGAGGGAAGAAGGUUGUGUGUGUGUGUGUGUGGAGUUGUUCUGUCAGUGCAUUUUGUCUUACUUUUCCUAUUUUAAAAAGUGCAGCUUCAGGGCUGGGGGAGGUUUAGUAGCAGCAAUGGUCUUUGAAGAUACUCACCCAUACUGAAAUUAUGAAAAUUUCAUUGCGUUUCAGGGUCUUGGAUGUACAUUUAGUUUUGGUGUUGUGCUGUUAAGAGUGUUUUUCCCAAAACCAUAAUCAAUUAUGUUUUAUAAUUUGUGUGAAAUUCUGUGUCUUUUAGUGAUGGCCUUUUUUUUUUACAAUGUCACUUAUGCAAGUACGAAAAGGCAUUCAUUGAACUUUUCUUUUUAAUUUUCUCCUCGCCUCUCCUUUAUUGCACAUUAUUUGAGAAAAUUUGAUUGGCAACACCCAUGGCAAACUGUCCCUGAAAUACUACUCCAUUUCUUUCUUUCUUUCCUCUUUGUUUUUGGUUUUUGUUUGGUUGGUUGUUUGGUUGUUGUUUUGUUUUUGUUAAAGAGAACUGGGAGGCUUCCUCCUGGUUUUAAAAGCAGGCAGAUAGUCACUCUGGAAAGUGACAGCAACCUCGGUAGAACCACUGUGUCAGGGAGUAAAAUUAAAUAUCUGCAAUUGCGUAAAACCAGAGUCUACCCAAGGAAUAAGUUUCAGGUCUUAAAUCUUGGAAAUAUAAUGCAAGGUGCUAAUAGUUAUUUUACUUUGCUUUGGAUGUAUAUUUAUAAAUGUAUGUCUCCCAUCACAAUGAUUCUGCUGAAGGGUUUAGGUGUGUUACUAAAUUCAUUGAAAGACAUUUUUUUAUCAGAAAGAUUUUUUAAAUUGUUAUUUUUUAUUUUAAUUUAUUUUUAAAUUUAUUUUACUUUUAUUUAUUUUAGAAAAGGAUAUUCUGUGUCUUUCAUACAUAACAAAAAGAUGACUAAUUUCUCAAAGUGUGAAGACAAACUUAAUUGUGGUAACUUCUGUGAACUUCAAGGUUUUUUUCUUUUGCUAACCAUGCCUUCCCAGUCUUGAAAACUUUUACUUGAUUUGUUUAGUGCACCAAUGUGUUUAAAUCCGUGCACUUAAAAAAUGUUACAAAGCGCACUCUUUAGUACCCAGGAGUUGCAUUUAUACCAAGGAGAUGCAUUCAUUGCAUUGUAGUUAACUAUCUUGAAGAUUAAGACUGUUCUUAAAAAUUAUUUUUUUAAAAAAUCAAUUGAUACAAAGCAGUUGUUUAAAACAGAGAUCACUUAUUGUAAAUGUGGAGUUUGUAGGUCUAAUCCUGCAAGCACGUGCCUGCUUAGCGCUAUGUCUAACUUACAGGCUUACUUUUAAGCAAAAGACUAGUUUGCAGAUUUGAAGAAAAUAGUUUCAGAUUUGCUGAAAAUAGAGUAUCUCCACUUUGAAGCUUUAAGUAAUUUCUAACAUUUAUUUUAGUCUGGAGUUAACCUAAAAUAAUUCCAAACACAUCUCUGUCUUUGCAGAUCCCCAUCACAUAUGUGCCUUUCUCCCUUGUUUGCAGUGAGUGUAAGGUCCAUGCAUUAGAGAGGCAGGGGGCAGUUAAGAAGGAAGCAAAAUUACAAUAUGCUGUGCUAAUGCAAUUUACCCAGUAAACAUCAUUUGGCAAAUCAAAACAGCUGGUGCAUGCUGAGACUUGAAUUCGUUUUUUUACAGGGAAAGUACACUUCAAUAUUAUACAAAGACCUAGCAAAUGUGUUUCAUAAGAACAGUGUGCAGGUACUGAGUCUUUUGUUUUAUCAUAACUGUUUUAAAGGGCUGACUUUGAAGCAGUGGAUGGAUACGUGUGUGCUUGUUCUGUGGUGUUUGAGCCUUUCAGUGUCUUUGAUUUAUGUUCUCUCCUUCGACAGAAGCUAUCUAAGACAGCAAGUGACCUGAAAUGAAAAUGUGUGAAGAGCUAGAAGUUGUUCUAACCUACAAAAGUGGAUCAAAUAACAAUGUAAACUUUAAAACUAAAAAGAAUAUAUGAGUGGUCAGUAAUAGCUUUUUCUAUUGUUUUAAAUUACAUUCAGAAAUUGUUCUCAAAAUAUUCAAGUCACAUAUUUCAAAAUAGUGGUGAAGGACCAAAGCUAAACAUCUUUGUCCUGACUCUUUGCCCUGCACCACAAUUACUACUGUCUAAUUAAUCAGUCUUUAAUAAGCUGUUGUGAUUUCAGAAACGUAUACUAGAUUGCUCUACUUUGCAUUGAAAAUGUAAGUCUCUUUCAAGGUAGAUUCCUAUAAAAAAAAAAAGCAUUUAAUUUUGAAGGAACAAUAGCAAUAGCAGAUGCAGCUAAUGAAGGUUAGUAAUUCAAUAGUAAAGAUUUCCUGACUCAGCAGUUUUUAGCCCCUUCCUCUCCAGAAGUAUUGGAGAAAUAUGAUGUACAUCUCUUAUUUUUUAUCCUUGGAUUAUUUGUUUGAUUUCUGGGCCAUACCAUUUUGAAAGGAAAAAUAUAUUGCUAGUAAUUCACAGGCUGUUUCACAGGCAGAGUUCCAUUUUGCCACCUAUUUGAUGCGUUUUUAUAUGGGCACUGAGAAGCUGUGGCAUUUUCAGUGGGUGUCACACCCAGCGUUGUCUCUUAUCUUGCCUAACCCAGAUGAUACAAUUUAGUGGCUUUUUUCUGUGUAUGGUUAAGAUUAGGGCAUGGCUGUGGGCAAGGCAGCUGGUUAGACUGUGACUGGGACAUUUAAGGAGGUUAAUGGAGGUUGUAGUGGAGGGACAUGGGCCCCUUCGGGAGUGUUAGUCCAUUACUGGGAACCUGGACCCCUAAGUAUGGAGUGGUUUUAUAAGGUGGUAGAUUUGCCAUAUCUUCUUCCAUGGAAGCAGAGUCUUGCAGAUGUCAUGGCAUCAUAUAUGUUGUCUUCAGUUGCUUCUGAGGAACACCCUGGAAAGAGAUCCCUGUGCCAUAAUGUCUGCACAUUUCUGUUAUGAUCCCUUAAGGCAUUCCUGAUACUGCUGGUACACCCACAGUUGGGGUACUCCUGGGUAAAACACCAGUCUCAAAUCUGUGGCAUCCUUCUUGCACUUCUCCUGCCCCAACUCAAUAUUCCCUGUCCCCUCCUCUGAUCCUAAGAGUCUUGUUUGAAUGCAAACAUUAUCCAGUGGUGCUCAUAACACAGCUUGUGAACCUAGGGAAAAGGUCUUCCCCAGUGCUUGCCGGUGCAUAUACUAGUAGGUCAAAACCUGAACCAUCGGCUUCCAUGGGUCUGGAGUGAGACACUCAGGAGCUGUACGAACAGCUUCCUCUAGCCGCAGAUUGUGGGGCACAAGCUAAAACUGCUGUCCUGUCCAUUUCCCUGGCAUGUAAACCUCUCAUCCUCGCUGGGAACAGCUUUUAGGCUAUAAUCAGAACUCCUCACUACUCUUAGUUUGGCAAGCAGAAGACAUGGGAACUUUCUGGGAUUGUGUGUUUCUAGGAAAAGAGGUUCUAGGGAAGUGAGUCUCUAGGGGACAAGAUACAAAGCAGGUACCAAAUGUUCUAAUUCUGGUAAAAGGAAAAAAGCCACAACCUUUACUAUUGUAUAAACGAAGACACCUUGGCCCUUAGCACUUGGAUAAGGUGAGCGGAGAACGUACCCAUACAGAGUAGGACUCACGGUCUCAGUGUGGUACGGAGAACUCCGCUGGCCCCACAGCAGCCGGUGACCAUGAGCCCCCUGGCAGCAGCAGCCCCUCCUGCUGCCUCACCAUAAUUGAGUAAAACAGCAGAAACAAAAUGUGUGCUACAUGUGCAAGCUGCAAAAUUGUUAAAAGGCCAAGUCUGUCUCACAAGCAGUAUUUUAGCUGAUACAGCAGUACAUAUGUGACUGCAAACGUAACAUUAUAAAAACUGAAAUACCAGGAGAGUUUUCCCUUGAAACUGGAUUACUUAAAAGAAUGAUGUGAAGAUAUAAUGGUGCAUGACCACGGCUGUCAUCUCCACCAGUUAGACUCCAUCGCCCAGGGAUUGAUCUCUCUUGGGCUAGGUUGUCAACACGCUUCAGCAUGUGGAUAUUAGUGUGCGUACAGGUUACCAGCAGUUGUCCAGUGUAUGGAAAAUGCCAGCAAUUACCAGCUUUUCCACUUUUUCUCCUUGAAGGAUUGUCAUCCUCUUCCUAUUCUGUCCUUCCUGUUCACAUUGGUUGGAGUCCACGCGAGGAUCAAGGCUGUGUUCCCCAUGUAACAAGUGUCCUGUGUUCAUCUAGAAGCCACCUGAUGAAGGAUCCUACAAUAACCUUUAACCAGGUGCUGGCAUCAGGCUUAAGCUCCUGGAAAUCUGCCUCUCAUUGACUCUGUCAAAAGAUACCCUCUUAGCUAUUGCCCUGCAAAGAAGCCCUCCCCUAUCAGUAACUUUAGGUAGGCAAAUUACCUUAGGAUCCCACCAAGGAAACUUAAGCCUACAGUGACCUUUCAAACUUAUCUAAUUCCAAAAUGGAGAUCUACCAAAGCAGUCAAGAAAUUGCUGUGGCCAGGCCAAUACAGGGCAGUCCCACUAGGGAGGGGGAACAGGAGGACAUCCUCCUGCUCCCUGCCCAGGAGGUGUUUCCAACAUGAGCUUCAGAAUGUGAUCAAGGCAUUUUCCCUGAGACACAUCUGUAGAAAAUCAAAUGGGAUGCCUGCUUCCAUCCCUUGGCUCUCUGAAUUCAGUGGGGUACCUACCUCCCAGGCCCUUCUGGUGCCAAUUAAGUCUGGUUUUCCCCCUUUUCUAGAAGCAUUUCAAAAAGCUUCCAGGUCCAGGGAAGUAAAAAGUGCUCAGGAUUGUCAAGGUUGAAGUCAGUGUCGCAAGCCCUGGAGCACAGCUUGGACGAGUGCCUUAGGAAGAACCAGGGGGAGUAUGCAAAGGCAGGAAAGGGCCAGACCAGCUGGUAAACAAACUUAUUAAUUACUCAGGGAUUCCUUCCCUCCCUUUCCAGCCCUGCACCCAGGGUGUGCACCAGGGAUGCACGCCCUGGUAUACCAGCCUGAGAGCGCCGAGAAGGAGCAGGCUCCACACGAAUGCUAAGGUGGUGGGUCUUCACAGGGAGCUGGGGUGUGACAACCUUCCCUUCCCAGGUUGUCUGCAUGGUCUAUGGGCACAGGGGAGUAGAAGGCUGCAGCAUUUUGCUCUUCCCUCUAGAAACACGUUGUAAGAAUACUUUGUGGUUAUCUUGGCCCACCACAGAUAGGAACUGAAGAUCCUCAAUAUGGCAGACUGGUAUUUCUUUUAAAAUAGUGUUUAAAAAAAACCCCAAAUAACACAAAGGUGAAGUGGGUGUGCCAUUCCCUGUGCCAUGCUAAUUAUCAAAAUUCUGGAGAUUGUCUUUAAAUAAACUCAAGGACUAGCCCUUUUCUUUUUCCCUAUCAGCUCUCCUAGCUGUCCCAAGGAAGCCUGCCAGAAUGAAACCAGCCUGGUGAUAAACUUCUGCAGAGGUAGCCUGACACACAGUGUCUCUGUAAUUAGCGCUGAAGAGUAAGGAGACAAAACAGAUGUACACAACACAGGUAUUCAAAACCUUCGGAAGAGCUGGGGAACCAAACCCAAAACCUGACCUGCCUCCCAAACCACCGCGCGGGUUCCCAUCCCUCUCUGAGUCCUGGAUCCAGGGGAAGCCGAUCUUGCUGGGGAUGGAGAUGGCCAGCCCACCUGCCUGGACAGGCAUGGGAUGCCAAGGGGGAAGAGCAGCCUGGGACCUGCAGAGCUGCCACGGCGAGGCCACCAGCCAAUGGGGUGCCACCAGCCCCUGUGGGGCACCAGGAUGAGCAGAGCCUGCUAGCAAGCACCGAAACAGAGGCCAACACCUAACCCAAAAAGCUGUCUGCAUUUUAAAAAUACUCUAAAGGAAAUCCAUUCCUUCCUGGAGCAGCCUGAGCCGUUCCCGCUCAGCUAAUGCAUGAACUGGAGGCUGAACCUAUGUCCCCUGGGCCACAUGCUGACACUUCAACACACACUCCCCGUUCUGUUGUUCCCUCUGCACACAGACGAGGGCUAGAAAAUCAGCAACCUUAGAAAACUCGCCUUCUGGUGACACGGAAUCCACUGGGCACUGGAAAGGAGAGACCAAGCUUACCAUAUGUAGCAUCAGCACAACCACCAGAGAUUUCCUACUGCUGAAGGUCCAAGAUACUUUCAUCCCACUACUGCUACACGAGUCGGCCAGAGCCCCAGCCUGGAGCACAAUUACACAGCACCUUGCAGAUGCUGGUGUUGCUAAUAGGUGUGAGUAAUUCAGCAGGCUCGUAUUAGCACGAUCAGGCAGAUCCCUGGUAGAAAUGAUAAUCACACGUAUGUCACUUCAUCGAGCUAAGGAGCUUGGCAAAUCUCCGCACAAGGCUGGGUGUCUAGAACAGCAGCCACGCUGAAUACCAAUUUCAUUCUGAGGCAAAAGAAGAGGGGACCUGGCAAGUCCUGCUCUUUCUCUUGCACCCAGUAGUUCUCAUAUUAUGACUUUCUGAUGUUGCACCCAACGCAAGAGGCUGGGGAGAAAGCUGCCCCUCUUCCCAGGCCACUGCCCCCAGCAAAGCCUUCUCCUUCCUCUGUUCAAUCCUCUUCUGCACCCUGAUACUUCACCAAAACUCAUCACCUCUGUCUGCCACCAGGAAACUGAGUCACAGCAGCUGCAGGGAGGGACACCCGAGCGAAGAGAGACCAGGGCCACCACACUCCCGCUCAGUGAGCGCUGCCCUUUGCCUCUCUGCACAGGGGGAGGAUGACGAUGACUUCCUGCCUCUUCCUCCUCCCAGCAAGCCCCCUGCCUGCCUCUCAAGCGGUCAGUCUGAUCAUUUGGAGUCUCUCCGCUGCGUAAACCCUGCACUGAUACAAAACUUAGCAAUAACACAGUGCUUCUGGGCCAGAUGUAGUUAAUUAAAAAUGUCAUUAAGCCACCAGAAAUGAUAAAAAAAACCCCACUUAACCCUCUUCACCUGCAGAUGGUUGGGCUACAACAUAAAGACUUGGACAGGGAAAGCCAACCGGGGCUGAAACCUCUGCAGCCCUGCCCUUGUGGCAGGAUCCUUCCCUCUCCGCAAAUUCAGCAUCCUGGAGCAGAAUGUGUAUCAGCAAGUUUGUAUUUAGAGCCCUUCACAAAGCAGAGAAGCUUGAUUUUUGAGGUGGCAAUAAGCUUUCCAUCUGCUCCAAAAAGCAUUUCUGAGACUCUGUGGGCACUGCAAUCCACUGGAAUUAAGAGGUGACAAAAGAGUGGGUGUUUGAGGGGAAAGCAAACCAGCAUCUGGCUUGGAGAUCCAUGGAGAGCAUGGUCCAGGGAAAAAAGGAGGAGAAGCACUUAUGGGUGUUCAGAGGUACAAAAACUCUGUCGGCAGGAAGAUGAUGUGCAAGGAAAAGGGACAGAGGCUAUGAAAGCAAAUCUGCAGCUGGGAUUCCAAAACCAAAGCAGCUUAAAAAUAGGCAGCAGAGACAGAAAAGGUGUAUUAGAUCAUCUUGUGUUCUCCCCCAUUGUGCCAACACAAGAUUGUUCCCUGCAAAAUAUUCUCUGCUGCUUCCAUAAAUGUCAGCUAGGAGUGAGCAUGUAGUAAAGAUUAUUCAGAGGGGAUUGGGAAGGGGAAGAGGAUUAUGCACUGGCAGAAAGGAGCUAUGGGAAAUGUCAUUUGUUAACCUAGACAGUGUGUUGAUGGACACCCCAAUUCCCCUCCUCCUGCCACUGCUGGCUGUGUAAGCAAUUUAUGUAUAGUGUUACGAAUCGAGUCCUCCAACCUCUGCCACACGCUUCUGGCCACCAGAAAGGAUGAGGAAUGGAGUACGGCCCAAAACAAAAGGAUGCCAGUUGGCUUUGAGAACAAUGUGAAGGGGAAGGAAAAAAUAAAAUAAAAUUUAAAAAAAUAGACAUUUGGAUUUUAUGUAGCUGAAGCAGGCAAGAAAAGCGCAGCCAGCCCUGGCUGUCAGCUGCUGGAGGCCGCGGGGGGGAGCUGCUCCACCAUGAAUUCUCCUACAGCUCCCACCCGCUGCUGCUCACUCGCCUCCCGCAUCCCUCUCAAGGCACCUGAUAACCAUGGGGCAGUAUUAAGAUUCCUGAUGUAGAUAUGGGGAAGCAGUGAGAGGAGGGUGACUUUCCCAAAGGGGCUGUUUCAGCCUCUGGAUCUAACACCACCAGCGAGCUGUCCUCCUCCCUGGAGAGCCAGGCUUUUCCAGAGGGACACUGAGCUCCAAGAUCCUGACCAAGCUGCUCUCUGUGUGGUCAGUGGACACACACCCCCCAGCUCCACAGGGGAAACUGGAGCACGAGCCUUCUGAAAUGCUUUGAAUUGGCCCCCAAAUUCUUUCUCUGGUGGUGACUGCUGUGGAUUGGCACCACGAUGGAGCUCCGGGCAUGGAAUGCCUUCAGCUGAACCAGAAUGGCACAGGGUGGGUUUAGUGCUUCUCAUGUAGCUCCCCAUGGCAAAUCCCCUUCCCACACCAGUCCACCCCACGGCACAGCCCUGGUGUGCUCAGCAACACCACAGGACCCCCCCCACAUUCCCAGGCUAUGUGGGUGGUCUGGCUCUGACUCCCUCCCCGGUGGCCUGGGAACUGGUGCUCAGGGACUCGUUUCUGCUUUGAAUCACCGCUGUCAGGUCAUCCCUUAUCCAAGAGCAUCCUCUCCCAACCUCCCCACACACCUUCUCUCUAUCUCCUCCCCACCUCCAUGUUUAAAAUCCCCACACACCAUCACAGCUUUUGGAAGGAAACAGAUUUUGGAGCUGAAUACCAGUCUCAGAUGGCAUUCCAGCAUACCAGGGCAAUAAAAACUUAGCUGCAUUUGUACCUAUUCUUGAUUACACCAUUUUCCUCAAAAAAGAUGAACUACAUCAGAGAAUUCCUCGCACUGGGCUAAGGAUUCAGGAGGCACAGUUGCCAUGACAGCCUGUUGUGCUGUUCAUCUGCUCAUUCCAGCACUCUGUGUUUGCACCUGUCUGUUAUCACAGAGGCUCCAUCGCUAUCUGAGGUUGUGGCCAGUUUCCCAGUUCACCCUUGCCAACAGGACUGGGUAGCAGGGCCUUGGUUUACUGCGUUCCACUCACCUUUAAAUAAAUACAAGCCUUGGGAGGGCUCCAAAUGGAUAUAAGCACCCGCAGCACAAAACCACCCUUCAGCAGCAGGACUGUUUGCACCCUUGUGCAAUUUCCAAAGCAACUAAGUGAUUUGGGAGCACAGAAAGGAUUUUUUCAAGGCUCUUUGGUGCCUCCCACACUAAAUAACCUUGUUUUUCUUUACAGCUUGGACCGGACAACAAUGCAGACAGUGCAAUGAGGUUUUGCCUGUGCUGUCUGUUUUCUGGCUAGUUUCCAGGGAAGUCAAUGCAGUAUCAAUCCCCUGUGCUUGGUCCCCUUGGAACAUGGAUGAAUGUUCAAAGGCAUUGAAAGGCUUCAUCAGAAUAAAGAUGGGCAUUUCAUCCACAUAAAGGAACAGGGUUUAUUGGUGGGUUGAGGAAGAGGUGCAAUCAGAAAGGGAACACAGUGAGGGAGAUGAAACAGUGCCGAAGCAAAGGCCCCCAGGGCACGCUGCCCUGUCUUCCCCUCCACUCCCACGCCUGGAAGGAGCCCUGUGCUAAGUAUGAUAUGUCAUAAAGAUUAUGGUUAAUUAGGAGGAAAUGUGGAAAGAACAACUACAUGCCUAAAGCUUAUAUGAAGCCAACAGAAACGGGGCACCACCUGAAUCUCAAGACAUUUCUCAUCCCCUGUUGAGAGAUGCAGACCUGAAAGGCCACUUCCAGAAACACCAAAGGAAAUUUCAGUUACAAAAGCCCAGCAGGACCCAUGCUCCUGCCAGUUUUUCCAGAUUCUUCCAGGCAAUGGCUUCUCCUGUCCUUAACCAAGGCUUGGCUGUGUCUUGACUGGGAGUUCCAACACUUCUACAGCAGCUGCCUUUACACAGCUAAUUUUUUUCUCUCCCAUCCCGAGCGCUCCCAGUUACUCCCUUCCCUCCCUGCCCACCUAUUCCCAAGGACAUGGAUAGGAGAGGAGCACCCCUCCCUGCCUGCCUGCAGCUCCAAUCCUGCUCCAGUUCCCUGUUGAGAACAAUUACAGUCAGUUUUUAUUUUUACCACGUUUUCCUCAGUCCUUCCCAGGACUUCCCGGAUUCUCAUAACGCUCUGUCUGCCCGCUCUUACCUUGGCACAGAGGGAUCGCUUCGUUCCAGUGGAAGUAGCCCUGCGGGUGCUGGGAGCAGGUGGUGGUGCUGUGGGCAACGAGACGGUAGCCCGCGUUGCAGCCGAAGCGGAGCGUGCUGCCAGGGUGCAGACCCGUCUGGCUGAGGAUCAGCCCGUGGGCCGGUGGCUGCAGGAGGCUACAGUAAGGAGCUGGGAAGAAAGGGCAGAAGCGAAUAAAUCAGUCACUGGAUGGGCAACGUCUAGAGAAAUUCUCUUCCUAUUCUCGGGAAUGACAGCGCACUUCCCAUAACCUAAGGCUGUAUGAGAACUUGUGAUGGAUAAAUAAAAACUCAAAGGGGGGAAAGAACACAGGGCUAGCGUCCAAGUUUCACUCAGCUCUAGAAAUAAAGACUCAUUUCUGAUAAUUAAAUAUUACCUAAUUCA